Molecule: ribosomal RNA, 429 nt
Filed under: Chloroflexota bacterium
Lineage: Bacteria; Bacillati; Chloroflexota
Description: Chloroflexi bacterium partial 16S ribosomal RNA
Rfam family: Bacterial small subunit ribosomal RNA
Source: RNAcentral
UGGGGAAUAUUGCACAAUGGGCGCAAGCCUGAUGCAGCCAUGCCGCGUGUAUGAAGAAGGCCUUCGGGUUGUAAAGUACUUUCAGCGGGGAGGAAGGGAGUAAAGUUAAUACCUUUGCUCAUUGACGUUACCCGCAGAAGAAGCACCGGCUAACUCCGUGCCAGCAGCCGCGGUAAUACGGAGGGUGCAAGCGUUAAUCGGAAUUACUGGGCGUAAAGCGCACGCAGGCGGUUUGUUAAGUCAGAUGUGAAAUCCUCGGGCUCAACCUGGGAACUGCAUCUGAUACUGGCAAGCUUGAGUGUCGUAGAGGGGGGUAGAAUUCCAGGUGUAGCGGUGAAAUGCGUAGAGAUCUGGAGGAAUACCGGUGGCGAAGGCGACCCCCUGGACGAAGACUGACGCUCAGGUGCGAAAGCGUGGGGAGCAAACAGG